ACACGGACCAAGGAGUCUAGCAUGUGCGCGAGUCAUUGGGACGUUUAACGCUAAACCCAGAGGCGCAAUGAAAGUGAAAGGGCGCGCCUCGCGCGCGCCCACCAGGGAAGAUGCGCGGGCGUCCUCGCACGCCCCGCCGCAUUCCCGAGGCGUUUCGAGAAAGCCACCGCGCGACUAUCGAGACGCACUGAGAGCGUACACGCUGGGACCCGAAAGAUGGUGAACUAUGCCUGGUCAGGUCGAA
Molecule: ribosomal RNA, 244 nt
Filed under: Tasmanthrus angustipennis
Lineage: Eukaryota; Metazoa; Arthropoda; Insecta; Trichoptera; Philorheithridae
Description: partial 28S large subunit ribosomal RNA
Rfam family: Eukaryotic large subunit ribosomal RNA
Source: RNAcentral